This 478-nucleotide ribosomal RNA is filed under the name uncultured bacterium. RNAcentral's name for it is "partial 16S ribosomal RNA". It matches the Rfam family "Bacterial small subunit ribosomal RNA", at positions 28 to 523 of the family's 1533-position model. The record is from RNAcentral.
GACGAACGCUGGCGGCGUGCUUAACACAUGCAAGUCGAGCGAUGAAGUUCCUUCGGGAAUGGAUUAGCGGCGGACGGGUGAGUAACACGUGGGUAACCUGCCUCAUAGAGGGGAAUAGCCUUCCGAAAGGAAGAUUAAUACCGCAUAAGAUUGUAGUAUCGCAUGAUAUAGCAAUUAAAGGAGUAAUCCGCUAUGAGAUGGACCCGCGUUGCAUUAGCUAGUUGGUUAGGUAACGGCCCACCAAGGCGACGAUGCGUAGCCGACCUGAGAGGGUGAUCGGCCACAUUGGGACUGAGACACGGCCCAGACUCCUACGGGAGGCAGCAGUGGGGAAUAUUGCACAAUGGGGGAAACCCUGAUGCAGCAACGCCGCGUGAGUGAUGACGGUCUUCGGAUUGUAAAGCUCUGUCUUCAGGGACGAUAAUGACGGUACCUGAGGAGGAAGCCACGGCUAACUACGUGCCAGCAGCCGCCGUAA